GCCUCACAGCCAGGGACAACAUUUAGAAAUGAAUGCUAAUACCUGAUAUUAUGAUUUUAAGGUCAUCUUAGAAUUAUGAAAGCUAUAAGCACUGUGAGAGAGCUUUGCGUCCCAUUAGCUAGUUGGAGAGGUAACAGCUCACCAAGGCGAUGAUGGGUAGCCGGCCUGAGAGGGUGAACGGCCACAAGGGGACUGAGACACGGCCCUU
RNAcentral lists this ribosomal RNA (208 nucleotides) under uncultured Fusobacteriaceae bacterium. RNAcentral's name for it is "partial 16S ribosomal RNA". It matches the Rfam family "Bacterial small subunit ribosomal RNA", at positions 128 to 334 of the family's 1533-position model. The record is from RNAcentral. Lineage: Bacteria; Fusobacteriati; Fusobacteriota; Fusobacteriia; Fusobacteriales; Fusobacteriaceae.